RNAcentral lists this long non-coding RNA (717 nucleotides) under Neogobius melanostomus (round goby). Its description in RNAcentral is "lncRNA (ENSNMLG00000025434.1)". Lineage: Eukaryota; Metazoa; Chordata; Actinopteri; Gobiiformes; Gobiidae. The record is from RNAcentral.
UGAAUUUCAAUCUACCGUUCAGCGAGCGGGGGAGGCGGGUGUUGUAGGUGACGUUAAACAUUUGUACCGGAUUUGCUGGGUGUAGUUUGAAAACGAGAUCCAAUCGUUUCAAAGGAGCUCACCCCUCCCACCUGAAAACGCAGCUCAAUUGUGAAGUUCCAGACCCUCUGUAUACGAAAUAAGUACGAGGGUUUGGUAAGACCAGGCUCGGUUUUGGGUACUCCUGUUCUAGUCUGACUGGGCAGGAGAUCUGAUUUCCCCCUCGUUCAUGACAGCUUAAGGCACUGCUAGUGAGUGCACGCAUCCAACUGAGCUCAGUUAACAUAUGUUAUUUUUAACUAAACCCGUUUCUCACAUCAACUGAUUUGAUCACGCUGUUGAUGCCGUAAGACUAUAAUGUGGUUAUUCAUGAAAAUGUCACUGUGAAUCAAUACUCUACUUGAUUUCACCACCGCUGUUACGAGGAGAAAUCACAGCUUGGCACAAGAAUUGGAGAACAAACAUGAUGGCCCCGCUGUGGGGAAACAACAACAACUCAACCUUUGAUGAGGAGGCUGAACCGAUCGGGAGUGGACCCAACGGUGGAAAAAUGUGCACGCACGGAAGACCAGAGCUGUGGAACUAAGUGCAGGAGGAAGACAACGUUCAAGAUGAGACAAUAAGAAAGGUGAGGCGCUCUGCAGAUGGUUGGCUUUAAAUAGUGUGUCAAGGUAUAGA